This 348-nucleotide unclassified non-coding RNA is filed under the name soil metagenome. RNAcentral describes it as "partial contains 5.8S ribosomal RNA, internal transcribed spacer 2, and large subunit ribosomal RNA". The stretch from base 1 to 120 matches the Rfam family "5.8S ribosomal RNA", at positions 35 to 154 of the family's 154-position model. The record is from RNAcentral.
GAUGAAGAACGCAGCGAAAUGCGAAAAGUAAUGUGAAUUGCAGAAUUCAGUGAACCAUCGAAUCUUUGAACGCACAUUGCGCCCGCUGGAACUCCGGCGGGCACGCCUGUCCGAGCGUCAUUUCAACCCUCAGGCCCCCCUUCGCGGGCGGGCCUGGUGUUGGGGCCCGGCCGCUACCCUGCGGCCGUCCCCUAAAUCCAGUGGCGGCCUCGCCGUGAUCCCUUGCGUAGUAAUGCACCUCGCACCGGAGAGCGCCUUGGCCACGCCGUAAAACCCCCAAUUUUCAAUGGUUGACCUCGGAUCAGGUGGGAAUACCCGCUGAACUUAAGCAUAUCAAUAAGCGGAGGA